Molecule: transfer RNA, 74 nt
Filed under: bacterium
Lineage: Bacteria
Description: tRNA-Ile
Rfam family: tRNA
About the family: Transfer RNA (tRNA) molecules are approximately 80 nucleotides in length. Their secondary structure includes four short double-helical elements and three loops (D, anti-codon, and T loops).
Source: RNAcentral
GGACCAAUAGCUCAGGUGGUUAGAGCGCACGCUUGAUAAGCGUGAAGUCGCAGGUUCAAGUCCUGCUUGGUCCA